RNAcentral lists this ribosomal RNA (253 nucleotides) under uncultured bacterium. Its description in RNAcentral is "partial 16S ribosomal RNA". It matches the Rfam family "Bacterial small subunit ribosomal RNA", at positions 524 to 776 of the family's 1533-position model. The record is from RNAcentral.
GACGUAGGGCGCGAGCGUUGUCCGGAAUUAUUGGGCGUAAAGCGCGUGUAGGCGGCUUUGCAAGUCGGGUGUGAAAGCCCUCAGCUCAACUGAGGAAGUGCGCCCGAAACUGCAGAGCUUGAGUGCCGGAGAGGGUGGCGGAAUUCCCCAAGUAGAGGUGAAAUUCGUAGAUAUGGGGAGGAACACCGGUGGCGAAGGCGGCCACCUGGACGGUAACUGACGCUGAGACGCGAAAGCGUGGGGAGCAAACAGG